This is a long non-coding RNA of Brassica oleracea var. oleracea, 815 nucleotides long. RefSeq lists it as uncharacterized. The transcript has 3 exons. NCBI's taxonomy places the organism in Eukaryota, Viridiplantae, Streptophyta, Magnoliopsida, Brassicales, Brassicaceae. The record is from RefSeq and is a predicted model, not a curated record.
AGGUAAUCUUCUCUCCUGAUGUUCAUGAUCACUUCGAUUGCAUAAUAUUUGUCUAACAACGAUGAUAUAUUUGUCAACUUCCAAAUUUUGCAUUUAAUCUAAUAACCUAUUAAUCGAAGGGAAGCCUUUGUUACCAAAGGGCAAGAAACAAUAGUAAGAACCAUAGGAGAAGUCGUGUGGAUUGGGUCGAUUUCUUCAUCAGAAGUUUCUAUAGGUCCGUGAAAACCAAUUUGCUGCAGCAUGUUAAUGUCUUUAAGGAUGCGAGACGUCCCAAUGAAGACACUAAAGUUUUCUUUUUUCUUUUAUUUCUUUCUUCUUUUGUAUCUUUAAGUUGAUCAAUAUCUUCAUUUUUCUAUAUACAGACAGUUUGCUUCCAGUCCUUGCUAAGAACUAUUCUAAGGUUGUUGUUAUAUAAAUUUUUCAAAAUCUCUUACAUACAUAAAAUAAAUAAAGAGGCCACAAUGCUUUACCGGAAAGACGAUGGACAGGAUUUUGGCUAAAUAUUUUAACUGAAGCUGAUAUCAGAAAUUGGUACUUUCAAGUCUUACAAGGCAAUUCUUACAUGCAUCAACGUGGUUACCUCCAACGCAAUCUUAAGCCAAGGAGGUUAAUUCGAGUCCACAUUAAUAGAGUAUGUUGUUGGCAGGGGAGGUUAAUUCGAGCCCACAUUUAUAGAGUAUGUUGUUAUAGAUGGUACAAAUUUGAUUCCCUUUUUGUGCUGCAAGCAGUCUUUCAGAUUACUAAUAUUACUGUAUAUAUGUCCUUCAGUGACCCAUAUGUCGAUUAGUUACCAUACCAUUGAUGCCUAACUGACC